This 90-nucleotide ribosomal RNA is filed under the name Bacillus subtilis. RNAcentral describes it as "partial 16S ribosomal RNA". It matches the Rfam family "Bacterial small subunit ribosomal RNA", at positions 1 to 87 of the family's 1533-position model. Lineage: Bacteria; Bacillati; Bacillota; Bacilli; Caryophanales; Bacillaceae. The record is from RNAcentral.
UUUAUCGGAGAGUUUGAUCCUGGCUCAGGACGAACGCUGGCGGCGUGCCUAAUACAUGCAAGUCGAGCGGACAGAUGGGAGCUUGCUCCC